This 253-nucleotide ribosomal RNA is filed under the name uncultured bacterium. Its description in RNAcentral is "partial 16S ribosomal RNA". It matches the Rfam family "Bacterial small subunit ribosomal RNA", at positions 524 to 776 of the family's 1533-position model. The record is from RNAcentral.
GACGGGGGAUGCAAGUGUUAUCCGGAAUCACUGGGCGUAAAGCGUCUGCAGGUGGUUUCCUAAGUCCACUGUUAAACCUUGAGGCUCAACCUCAAAUCGGCAGUGGAAACUAGGAAACUUGAGUAGAGUAGGGGUAGAGGGAAUUUCCAGUGGAGCGGUGAAAUGCGUAGAUAUUGGAAAGAACACCGAUGGCGAAGGCACUCUACUAGGCUCUUACUGACACUCAGAGACGAAAGCUAGGGGAGCAAAUGGG